UGGGGAAUAUUGCGCAAUGGGCGAAAGCCUGACGCAGCAACGCCGCGUGAGUGAUGAAAUCCUUCGGGAUGUAAACUUCGCAAAACUGGGAAGAACAAAAUGACGGUACCAGUUGUAAGCCACGGCUAACUCUGUGCCAGCAGCCGCGGUAAUACAGAGGUGGCAAGCGUUGUUCGGAAUUACUGGGCGUAAAGCGCGUGUAGGCGGCUCUUCAAGUCAGGCGUGAAAGCCCCAGGCUCAACCUGGGAAAUGCGUUUGAUACUGUCGAGCUAGAGUGUGGAAGGGCGAUUGGAAUUCCGUGUGUAGCGGUGAAAUGCGUAGAUAUACGGAGGAACACCAGAGGCGAAGGCGGAUCGCUGGGCCAACACUGACGCUGAGACGCGAAAGCUAGGGUAGCAAACGGGAUUAGAUACCCCCGUAGUCCCUGAGCGGGCUGGCAAGGCGCAU
This 447-nucleotide ribosomal RNA is filed under the name uncultured bacterium. RNAcentral describes it as "bacterial SSU rRNA". It matches the Rfam family "Bacterial small subunit ribosomal RNA", at positions 355 to 825 of the family's 1533-position model. The record is from RNAcentral.